This 429-nucleotide ribosomal RNA is filed under the name Pseudomonadota bacterium. Its description in RNAcentral is "Proteobacteria bacterium partial 16S ribosomal RNA". It matches the Rfam family "Bacterial small subunit ribosomal RNA", at positions 355 to 776 of the family's 1533-position model. Lineage: Bacteria; Pseudomonadati; Pseudomonadota. The record is from RNAcentral.
UGGGGAAUAUUGGACAAUGGGCGAAAGCCUGAUCCAGCCAUGCCGCGUGUGUGAAGAAGGUCUUCGGAUUGUAAAGCACUUUAAGUUGGGAGGAAGGGCAGUAAGCGAAUACCUUGCUGUUUUGACGUUACCGACAGAAUAAGCACCGGCUAACUCUGUGCCAGCAGCCGCGGUAAUACAGAGGGUGCAAGCGUUAAUCGGAAUUACUGGGCGUAAAGCGCGCGUAGGUGGUUCGUUAAGUUGAAUGUGAAAGCCCCGGGCUCAACCUGGGAACUUCAUCCCAAACUGGCGAGCUAGAGUAGGGCAGAGGGUGGUGGAAUUUCCUGUGUAGCGGUGAACUGCGUAGAUAUAGGAAGGAACACCAGUGGCGAAGGCGACCACCUGGGCUCAUACUGACACUGAGGUGCGAAAGCGUGGGGAGCAAACAGG